AAUCAGUGCUAGUUAUUGCUUUAUAUUUCUGAACAAGACGUUUCUGUCUGUUAGAAAUUGUUGCGACAUUUGCUUAGGGAUUCUCAUGUGCCAUGUUACUAGUUACACUGCUAUUGCUGGUCUCAUUUAGUUUAACAUACCACUGUUAGAUCUUAGAGGUAUAUAUUGCUAAAAAGAAUGCAUGAUCAUUGAUUCAUUGUGAUACCACCUGUGCUAACUUAUUUUGAGCUCCUCUUAUUCUUGCCGGCUCCCCGAUGGAGAUGAAUGAAGAAAGGAAGGUCAGCUUACUAGGACUAGCAGAUAUAUUAUCAGCCUCAAUUGGAGGAUUCUCAUGGGCUCCCUUGAUUUCAAAGAUCUGCAAGAAUAAAGUCGAGGCGGAGGCUUUGUUUACUGGUCUUAGUGCCUUGAUAUGUCGAGGACAGCAUGGAUCCCAGGUCCAACAUAUAGAUGGAAUCCGGAUCGCUGGACUUCCUUUUGAUGGUGCAAGAGAAAGUAGCCUAAGUGGUAGCUCUACUUUCACUUCGGAUUCCUAUGAGAAUAAGCUGAGCUCGGUAAACUCUACCAAGGAUCGUUCUUCGGGAGAAUAUACAUAUUCAGAAAGGACUGAUGUGUCAGAUAUGCAAGUGAAAAGUGUUUCUUCUUCAGACAUUCGAAUCAGUGUUUCCAGUGCCCUUAGCACAUCCAGCCAUCAAGCUUCUAGUUCUGGUCGUUCGCUCUCCUAUUUUUCUGCUCAAUAUGUAAGGAGCUGAGUCAUGUGCAUUGUAGCCUGUAUUUUUUUUAUUUUUUAGCAAUUGAAUAUAUUUGAUGAACAUCAGAGAUGCAUAUACUUUUUUCUCCAAGUUUCAGCAUGUAGUGGUUAUCAGGGAGUCGCCAUCUUGGAAGUAUAGUAGCUGAAUUUAUUUGAGUAGUCUUUUAUCCAGGGUACUAAAUUUUUUUGUUAAAAAUGUCACUCCAUUUAUGUCCUAGUGUCCGCAUCCUUAUCUCUACUACUUUUGGCUGCCUAGGUAAGAAGUUACAUCCAUAUGACCUUUGUGAUAUCUUUUUUGCUAUAUGUACUUUUACCAGGCAUAAAUGUGAUCUGAUUUGUGUAGCUUGCUCGUCUUGCUAAGAUGGAGGUUGAGUAUCGACGUAUCCAGAUCAUAGAGAUUGGUCUUCCAAUGGGUAGACAUAUUAGGAUGAGAGACACCCCGGGGGUCUAAAAUCUGAUGUUGAGUCCGCAUUGCAAGUUCUGAAUUUUGCAAUAUAAGUUGACUGAGAUGGGAGAGCAUGAACAAGUGGAUAGACUUGAGGUGAUUUUAAUAUUUUAUGAUAUUAUCCACCCAACCGUCUCAGCUUUCUUAAGAACUAACUAGUUCAUUUACAAUAUGUUUCUUGUCACAUCUGUGCCUUUUAUUUUUCUUAGGUUUUUCCGUCUCCCCAUUCAUGUAUCUAAAAAAGAUCUCUUCACAGCUCUGGAAACAAUCCAAUGGAUGUGGAUGUAGGAAACACUUCAAGUGACCAACAUAUUCCAGCAGAGAGGUUGCACAUAACAUACAAGUCUGAAGCUUUGUUUUGUUUAUGCCUAAUCCUUAGCUGUCCUUGUUUUUUGAUAACAUGCAGGAUUGAAGCAUCUGAAGUAAUUCUUGGUAAGCAUGUGUUGGAAAACCAUAUAGAUCAAAUGUCAACUGAUGAAGUCGAGCAAUCGAUUAACAGGGACUACAAGAUACAAACAGGGUAAUGAUGUGGAAUGGUAUUGUUCGAAUCGUAUAGCUACCAUUCUAGCAAGAUGUUUACCUACAGGUCCCUGGCCAUGAUGUGUCAUGAUGGAUGUCUGAUGAAUCCAACUAAAGCUCUACAUUUGUAACGAACGCUUUCUGACGAGGGCACUGCGAUAACACGCCUUCUAUUCUAGUAUGCUUAGUUAGAUUCAAUGUUAGCGCAAACGACUGAUGAUAAGUUUUUCGGUUAGUAUUUUAAUUUGGAUUUAGAGUACACUUAUGUAUGAUUUAUUUGACAAUGCUUAUUUAUGAGACAUUGAAUUGUACCUAUCUAUAUUACAUUAAAUAUGAUGUUAUUAAAUAUGUGUGU
Zea mays is the source of this 2067-nucleotide long non-coding RNA. RefSeq lists it as uncharacterized. The record is from RefSeq and is a predicted model, not a curated record. NCBI's taxonomy places the organism in Eukaryota, Viridiplantae, Streptophyta, Magnoliopsida, Poales, Poaceae. The transcript has 3 exons.